This 403-nucleotide ribosomal RNA is filed under the name Palmipenna pilicornis. Its description in RNAcentral is "partial 16S ribosomal RNA". It matches the Rfam family "Bacterial large subunit ribosomal RNA", at positions 1919 to 2527 of the family's 2925-position model. The record is from RNAcentral. Lineage: Eukaryota; Metazoa; Arthropoda; Insecta; Neuroptera; Nemopteridae.
UUUUUUGAAGGGCCGCAGUAACCUGACUGUGCAAAGGUAGCAUAAUCAUUUGUCUCUUAAUUGGAGGCUGGUAUGAAUGACUGGACGAGGUAAAAACUGUCUCAUUAUUAAAAUUGUAAAAAUUUAGCUUUUUAGUUAGAAGGCUAGAAUUUUUUUGGAGGACAAGAAGACCCUAUAGAGCUUUAUAAUAUGAAUAAAUUUUUUAAUUUGGUUUAAAAUUUUUUAAUUUUUUUUUUUUAUUAUUUUGUUGGGGUGACAUGAAAAUUUAUUGAACUUUUCAUUUUUAUAAACAUAAGUUAAUGAUUUAAUGAUCCAAUAUUAUUGAUUAUAAGAAUAAGUUACCUUAGGGAUAACAGCGUGAUUUUAUUGGAGAGUUCAUAUUGAUAAUAAAGUUUGCGACCUC